This 252-nucleotide long non-coding RNA is filed under the name Capsella rubella. Its description in RNAcentral is "long non-coding RNA (CRUB_LNC001690)". Lineage: Eukaryota; Viridiplantae; Streptophyta; Magnoliopsida; Brassicales; Brassicaceae. The record is from RNAcentral.
GAAUUGAGAGCUCUUUGUUUUGAUACCCCAAAUUUUUUUAUUUUUAGAAAAAUAGCAAGUGCACAUAGUGAAUAUGUACCUAUUUAGUAUAUUUUUUCUAUUUUUUAUUUUAUGUUUAUUGAUGAUAUGUAAAAUUUUGUUGAUCUAUGAAUCUAGAGUUGUUUUCAAGAUGGAUAGAAUCAAGGCCGGUUUUACCCAAAAAGUCGUUUCAAUUCGGUAGAAUUUUACUAACCACAAUAAACUGAACCAAAC